UCAGCCACACUGGGACUGAGAUACGGCCCAGACUCCUACGGGAGGCAGCAGUCGAGAGGCUUCGGCAAUGGGGGAAACCCUGACCGAGCGACGCCGCGUGUGUGAUGAAGGUCGUAAGAUCGUAAAGCACUGUUAGCAGGGAAGAAAUGCCAUAUUGUUAAUACCAGUACGGCUUGACGUUACCUGCAGAGAAAGCUCCGGCUAACUCCGUGCCAGCAGCCGCGGUAACACGGGGGGAGCAAACGUUAUUCGGAAUCACUGGGCGUAAAGGGCGCGCAGGCGGCCAGGUAAGUGGGAUGUGAAAUCCGGUGGCUCAACCAUCGAACUGCAUCCUAUACUGCUUGGCUUGAGGACGGGAGAGGAAAUGGGAAUUCCCGGUGUAGCGGUGACAUGCACUGAUAUCGGGAGGAACACCAGUGGCGAAGGCGCAUUUCUGGCCCGUUCCUGACGCUCAGGCGCGAAAGCUGGGGGAGCAAACAGGAUUAGAUACCCUGGUAGUCCCAGCCGUAAACGGUGAACACUAGGUGUGGGGGGCAUCGACCCCUUCCGUGCCGCAGCUAACGCAUUAAGUGUUCCGCCUGGGGAGUACGAUCGCAAGGUUGAAACUCAAAGGAAUUGACGGGGGCCCGCACAAGCGGUGGAGCAUGUGGUUUAAUUCGAUGCAACGCGAAGAACCUUACCCUGACUUGACAUGUACCGGACAGGUAUGGAAACAUACUCUCUCUUCGGAGUCGGUAUACAGGUGCUGCAUGGCUGUCGUCAGCUCGUGUCGUGAGAUGUUGGGUUAAGUCCCGCAACGAGCGCAACCCUUGCUCUUAGUUGCCAGCACAUAAUGGUGGGCACUCUAAGGGGACUGCCGGCGAUGAGCCGGAGGAAGGUGGGGAUGACGUCAAGUCCUCAUGGUCCCUAUGUCUGGGGCUACACACGUGCUACAAUGGACGGUACAGAGGGCUGCGAUACCGCGAGGUGGAGCCAAUCCCAAAAAGCCGUUCUCAGUUCGGAUUGCAGUCUGCAACUCGACUGCAUGAAGUCGGAAUCGCUAGUAAUCGCUGAUCAGCAGGCAGCGGUGAAUAUGUUCCCGGGCCUUGUACACACCGCCCGUCAAGCCACGAAAGUUGGCAGUACCCAACGUCGUCUACCCAACCUUCGGGAGGGAGACGCCUAAGGUAAGGCUGGCGAUUGGGGCUAAGUCGUAACAAGGUA
RNAcentral lists this ribosomal RNA (1203 nucleotides) under metagenome. Its description in RNAcentral is "bacterial SSU rRNA". It matches the Rfam family "Bacterial small subunit ribosomal RNA", at positions 304 to 1498 of the family's 1533-position model. The record is from RNAcentral.